RNAcentral lists this small nucleolar RNA (131 nucleotides) under Oncorhynchus tshawytscha (Chinook salmon). Its description in RNAcentral is "Small nucleolar RNA SNORA17". It matches the Rfam family "Small nucleolar RNA SNORA17". Rfam says of the family: snoRNA ACA 17 belongs to the H/ACA family of snoRNAs and is predicted to guide pseudouridylation of the 28S rRNA at positions U4659 and U4598. Lineage: Eukaryota; Metazoa; Chordata; Actinopteri; Salmoniformes; Salmonidae. The record is from Rfam by way of RNAcentral.
UCUGCCCCUUGAGGUGUUGCAGUCCGACUAUGUGUUGAGCCUGUGUCAUGAGGGGCGGAGAGUGAAACCGGGCUACGUCUACGCCAAGGACCCAGGACAGUGGGUACUUGCAUGACUAUGGCGCCGAUAUU